This 92-nucleotide transfer RNA is filed under the name Tuber melanosporum Mel28. Its description in RNAcentral is "tRNA-Arg for anticodon UCU". It matches the Rfam family "tRNA". From Rfam's summary of the family: Transfer RNA (tRNA) molecules are approximately 80 nucleotides in length. Their secondary structure includes four short double-helical elements and three loops (D, anti-codon, and T loops). The record is from Rfam by way of RNAcentral. Lineage: Eukaryota; Fungi; Ascomycota; Pezizomycetes; Pezizales; Tuberaceae.
ACCCGGCUGGCGCAAUGGUAGCGCGUCAGACUUCUAAUUUCCUCGGAGAACUCGAUAUCUGAAGGUUGUGGGUUCGACCCCCACGUUGGGUU